GAUGAAGAACGCAGCGAAAUGCGAUACGUAAUGUGAAUUGCAAAUUCAGUGAAUCAUCGAGUCUUUGAACGCACAUUGCGCUCCCUGGUAUUCCGGGGGGCAUGCCUGUCCGAGCGUCAUUGCUGCCCUCAAGCACGGCUUGUGUGUUGGGCCCCGUCCUCCGAUCCCGGGGGACGGGCCCGAAAGGCAGCGGCGGCACCGCGUCCGGUCCUCGAGCGUAUGGGGCUUUGUCACCCGCUCUGUAGGCCCGGCCGGCGCUUGCCGAUCAACCCAAAUUUUUUAUCCAGGUUGACCUCGGAUCAGGUAGGGAUACCCGCUGAACUUAAGCAUAUCAAUAAGCGGAGGA
Molecule: unclassified non-coding RNA, 346 nt
Filed under: soil metagenome
Description: partial contains 5.8S ribosomal RNA, internal transcribed spacer 2, and large subunit ribosomal RNA
Rfam family: 5.8S ribosomal RNA (bases 1-119)
Source: RNAcentral